RNAcentral lists this ribosomal RNA (1985 nucleotides) under Triticum aestivum (bread wheat). RNAcentral's name for it is "partial small subunit ribosomal RNA". The record is from RNAcentral. Lineage: Eukaryota; Viridiplantae; Streptophyta; Magnoliopsida; Poales; Poaceae.
CAGCCCUCGCACACUCUAUCUUCUUCCUCCUCCCCCGAUUCCACCCAACGAGCUGCCGGCAACCUCCUCUCCUCCAGCCACCGCCGGCGCCCUCCACCCUCUCCUUCUCUCCUAGUCUCCGCGUCCAACCUCGACAGCUUCCCCUCCUCGCGCCCGAAACCCUAGCCCGCGUCCACGGCAACCAAUCUCUGGAUCCGCAUCGCAGGAUGCCGCCGGAUCCGGGAACAGGGCAUCACACCCUGCAGCUGCCGUUCGGGUCGAGCGCGGCGGCGGCGAACGCCGGUGCUCCUCUGCUUCCUCGACCUCCAAGGACGCAGGCCCCGGAUUCGUGCUCGCCUUCUUCCUCCACCAACCUUGGUGCCCAACUCCCUACAGCCGCCGUCGCCGUCGCCGUCGUGGACUCCCAAGGCAAGGAGCAUGAGGACCGAGCUCGAGCGCGACCACGACGCAGCGCACAAGGUCCCUGUUUCCUGCACAAGUAUACACAUCACCUUGCUUGGUUGGGGAGCAGCAACAUCAAGGCUGUUGUACAAACAGCAAUAUCAAGACGUUGAACAAAUAGCAACAUCAGUUGCUGAUAGCGUACUGAGGUGUUUCAGCACCAACGCUUGGAUGACCAACGAGGAACAAGCUAUGGCGGUGGCUGCCGAUUUGCCGCCUCAACAAGGUCUCGUUCCUCCCUGGUUUGCACAAGCUUCGUCAGGCAACUGCAGAUCCCGUACGACCAUGGCCCACACCCCUGAAGCUUCCCCUGUCCGCAACAACUUCUGGAUCAAAGGAUUGUUGCUUAAUCCCGGGCUGCUCUACCUUCAAGGAAAAGGGGUCCUCCUUGAGAUCAUACAGAUGGUGCAAGGACAAUGUUAAUAUGGUCAUUGUGGUGGGUGAGGGUGCCGGCCAAGAUCUCAUCGCCUAAAGCAUCAAUUUUGUGGACCUCACCAUCCCUUCCUUGGUUUGAAGGAGGAAUGGAUCCAGGACUGUCCGCUGCGGAUUCGCCGCCUCACCUAUGUCGGUCUUGUGCGUGCUUGGGGUUCUUCGCCGAGCACCAACACCGCCAUGGAGCCGGCGAGCUCACACACCUGCACCUUCAGAAGCACCACGUUAGGUACUGCAACAUCAAGUGCUACGGCGAGGUUGCUGGGCGCUAGCCGUGGCGUCCGACGCGUGUAAUGGUUGAAGGUUUUUUGGUUUAGUGCUCGUGCAACGCCGGCGCUAGUGGCGCUGUACGGCUUCGGCUACAGUCGUUCUGGAUUGUUGCUUAAUCCCAGGGAUGCUCUACCUUGAAGGAAAAGGGGUCCUCCUUGAGAUCAUAUAGAUGGCGCAAGGACAAUGGUCAUAUGGUCGUUGUGGUGGCUGAGGAUGCUGGCCAAGAUCUCAUCGCCCAAAGCAUGAAGUUUGUGGACCUCACCAUCCCUUCCUCUGUUUGGGCGAGUCCUUGGUCUUCUCUCUCUCUCUCUCUCUCUCUCUCUGAGAUGGUCCGGCCAUUGAGCUGUGGGUGAUUGUGGUGCUGGCAAUCAAGCCGCUGAUUUAGUGUUUGGAUUUGUGGUGGCCUUCUUUUGUGAUUGUGAUUGUGGUCGUCUUUCUUGUUGAUCAAAUUGGUCUCUUGUAAUUCUACGAUGGGCCCUUUUAACUCUGCAUGCUACAGGGUUUGGUUAUGGUCCAUGUUUAUUCUUGAUAGGAUCCUUAGGCUGGGAUUUUGACUUGUUAAUGGCUAUCAAAUAAAACAAAAUGCUUACCUAUUGGUGUAGUGCUGUUGUGUAUUGAUAGAAUUAGUUGAUUCUUGGUCUUGUUUGAUAGGAUAGAAUAAGAAGAGAUAUUCUCUACUUGGUCUUGUACAAGUCUUAGUGAUGUGCUUUCUGUUGCCGUGGCAUACUUGCGAAUAUGAUCCCGGCCUAUUCCCAUGUGUUGUGUUGUGCACAAUGAAGAUGAUAAUAUGAUCGUCUGACUGAUUCCAACUUGCGAAAGAGCAUAUUUAACAGAGCAUUACC